RNAcentral lists this ribosomal RNA (460 nucleotides) under uncultured bacterium. Its description in RNAcentral is "partial 16S ribosomal RNA". It matches the Rfam family "Bacterial small subunit ribosomal RNA", at positions 338 to 795 of the family's 1533-position model. The record is from RNAcentral.
CCUACGGGAGGCAGUAGUGAGGAAUAUUGGUCAAUGGGCGCGAGCCUGAUCCAGCCAAGUAGCGUGAAGGAUGACUGCUCUACGGGUUGUAAACUUCAUUUAUAAAGAAAUAAAGUGAGGCACGUGUGCCUUUUUGUAUGUACUUUAUGAAUAAGGAUCGGCUAACUCCGUGCCAGCAGCCGCGGUAAUACGGAGGAUCCGAGCGUUAUCCGGAUUUAUUGGGUUGAAAGGGAGCGUAGAUGGGAUGUUAAGUCAGUUGUGAAAGUUUGCGGCUCAACCGUAAAAUUGCAAUUGAUACUGCCAGUCUUGAGUACAGUUGAGGUAGGCGGAAUUCGUGGUGUAGCGGUGAAAUGCUUAGAUAUCACGAAGAACUCCGAUUGCGAAGGCAGCUUACUAAACUGCCACUGACAUUGAUGCUCGAAAGUGUGGGUAUCAAACAGGAUUAGAUACCCGUGUAGUC